GUAGGGAAUAUUGCACAAUGGAGGAAACUCUGAUGCAGCGACGCCGCGUGAGUGAUGAAGGCCUUCGGGUCGUAAAGCUCUGUCGCAGGGGAAUAACACAAUGAAGGUACCCUGUAAGAAAGGAUCGGCUAACUUCGUGCCAGCAGCCGCGGUAAGACGAGGGAUCCUAGCGUUGUUCGGAAUCAUUGGGCGUAAAGCGGAUGUAGGUGGCUAUGUAAGUCAGAUGUGAAAGCCUGGGGCUCAACCCCAGAAGUGCAUUUGAUACUGCGUAGCUUGAGUGUCGGAGAGGUUACUAGAAUUGUUGGUGUAGUGGUGAAAUACGUAGAUAUCAACAGGAAUACCGGAGGCGAAGGCGGGUAACUGGCCGAACACUGACACUGAGAUCCGAAAGCGUGGGGAUCAAACAGGAUUAGAAACCCCAGUAGUCC
Molecule: ribosomal RNA, 428 nt
Filed under: uncultured bacterium
Lineage: Bacteria
Description: bacterial SSU rRNA
Rfam family: Bacterial small subunit ribosomal RNA
Source: RNAcentral